GAUGAACGCUGGCGGCGUGCCUAAUACAUGCAAGUCGAGCGAACAGACGAGGAGCUUGCUCCUCUGACGUUAGCGGCGGACGGGUGAGUAACACGUGGAUAACCUACCUAUAAGACUGGGAUAACUUCGGGAAACCGGAGCUAAUACCGGAUAAUAUAUUGAACCGCAUGGUUCAAUAGUGAAAGACGGUUUUGCUGUCACUUAUAGAUGGAUCCGCGCCGCAUUAGCUAGUUGGUAAGGUAACGGCUUACCAAGGCGACGAUGCGUAGCCGACCUGAGAGGUGAACCGCCCCACCGGAACCUGGAAACGGGCCCAACCCCCAAGGGGAGGAGGAGGAGGGAAUCUUUCGGAAUGGGGGGAAAGCUGACCGAGGCACCGCCGGUGAGUUAAGAAGGUCUUCGGAUCGGUAAACCUUGUUAAUAGGGAAGAAACAAAUGGUAAGUAACCAUGGCAGGUUUGAAGGGAACCUAUCAAAAAGCCACGGCUAAAUUCGUG
RNAcentral lists this ribosomal RNA (496 nucleotides) under uncultured bacterium. RNAcentral describes it as "partial 16S ribosomal RNA". It matches the Rfam family "Bacterial small subunit ribosomal RNA", at positions 28 to 507 of the family's 1533-position model. The record is from RNAcentral.